Molecule: long non-coding RNA, 2196 nt
Filed under: Triticum aestivum (bread wheat)
Lineage: Eukaryota; Viridiplantae; Streptophyta; Magnoliopsida; Poales; Poaceae
Description: long non-coding RNA (TAES_LNC027839)
Source: RNAcentral
GAGAACGCACUUCCAGACUAUCAAUCAUGCAUGCCCAUAUCAUUUGCUUUGCUUAAUGUUUCUUAGUUUAACUUACUAAUCUCUUGUCUGUGUAAUUUUUGCUGCCAGAAGGGAUCCCAAUAGGUUGCAACUGGGAGUAAAAUAUGUGUCUAAACUGAUUGUCUGGUGCGAAAAUCGACGACCAAGAUCCAGUUAUGUGUAUUGUAGGACAACACCUUUCAUUAGAUACACUUUGAUGCUAUUUCUAGCAUGAAUUUCUAUUUCAGACUUAGAACUAAAAUUCUGAACAACUAAAAUCGCUCUUGUUCCUUAUUUUUGUAGGGCGGUUCCUCUCGUUUUACUGGUUCGUCCGCUCCUUCAUGAUUGAUGUACUGGUUCUGGCCGCUCCUUCGUGAUAGACUCGGUUAACUCUUUGUUGGCCUUGUGGGUCGUAAUUGUUUCUCUCCAUAUGCAUAUACUUCCUUAUGUAUUGCUCAUGCUCAUUCUGUACCGAGAUAGACCUAAUAUCCGUAGGGUUGUAGAUUGAUUUCCCCUGAAAAAGCUAUGCUUCUUUCCUUGGAUGAUAAGCAUGUUCCGCAGCUAUGUGGAAUUCUUAAGAUAAACGGUCUUUAGUUUCUUUUGGUGCAUCUGCGUGCACAUAACAGUCUGUUAGUUUCUCAGUCUGUUAGUUUCUCUUUAUAUAAUGAAAAAAUAUAUGUUGUUGUCGCUUGUUUAUUAUUAUCUAUCAUUUGUAUAUUGAUUUUUAGGCCACCAGUACUUGUAUGUAUAAUUUCUAGUCUCUUGAAUGAAUAAUUUUUCUUUAUGUGCCAUGCGUCUUGUGUUACUACAUACAUCUGUCGUGAAGUACAUGGUUCUGGAACUAUGGUAACCCGUAGUUUGCUCUACCCGUGAUAGUAGGAUGAUGGAAGCAUCACUACUGAAUGUAGUUCAUGUUUCUUCGUAUAAUCAUCAUUUACUAGAGUUUCUCUUCUUCUUGCUACUACUUGGUUUUUGACGCCACUAGCUUGUACUGAAAUGUAAACACAUCAUAUUGUUCUCAUCAGACCAGUGUACCUUGAGCAUGCAAAGUAAACACAUGCUACUCCACUUGUCUAUUUUUACAUAAACUUUUGUUUAAAUAAACCGAGCUAAUAAACCAAACGGUGCAAACACAUUCAGUUCUGAAAUUUUUCUACUCCACUUGUUUGAUUGUACUGAAACCUUUGUUUGCAUGUUUCUAAAAUGCAGAGAAGAACACCCUGUGUUCUGGUAAAAUAUUUGUUUGCUAUGAUAUGAAAUUCCAUGAUGUGUGUGUUGUUUUAGUUUCUGUAGCUACAACAAAGUCCUAGUUUACUCUAUACUUGCUUUUGAUGAUUGCUGGCUAAAUUUACAGUUGAAAUAAUAGUAGCCAAGGAGUAGAUACAAGACGUAUUUACCAUAUUUUGCAUGGAAUGUUAAAAAUCAGUUUUGUUGUGGUUUCUUGUUCUGUGAGUCAAAUUGCAUAAGAUGGGAGUAUCACAACAUGCAUAUACUGAAGCUGGGAGUAUCACAACCUGAAUGUGCAUCUUAUGUAGUUUCUGUAUUUUUGUUAAAGCAUGGAGUAGCUUCUAUAGUUUCUGUAUUUUUGUUAAAGCAUGGAGUAGCUUCUAUAGUUUCUGUAUUUCUGUAUUUUCGUUAAAGCAUGGAGUAGCUUCUAUAGCUUCCUCACAAGUUAAUGCUUCGCUCGUCCGGGUGUGUGAUAAUGCCAUUUGUCUUGUGCAAUCAGAUUACAUUUCUGUUUGUUAUGGUAAUAUAAAAAAUAUUCGUGCUGUCAAAAUUUUCACAGUGCGUGUCUUUCAUUUCUUUAAUUUGAUUGUUUCCCUUGUAUUCAAUAUGCUUCUAGUGGCUGAUCCUUCCAUUUUUGUUGUGGCAUCUUUAUUUUCACAGGUGUUGUGUGUUCUGGAAGAUGGAAGAGGAAGAAAUUGUUGAACUAAAUUUUUUUGUAUUCUGUUUUGUUGUAUGUAUCGUUUGAUAGUUUUGUAUAGGAACAAGUGAUACUAUUUUGUAGGGCUUUAUGGCCUAUGAUGUAAACAUAUUUAGUGCUGAAAUAUGAAAUUAUUUGCAAAAUUUGUCAAAAAGGUGGAUCAUAUGUAUGAAUAUGUGAAUGGGCUGAAAAGAGUAAUGGACCAACUCCAGGAUUGAAUUAAUAUUUGAAUGUAUAAAAAGGCCGAAUGUAAA